UGACGGUGUGGACUCGAUCCGCGCGGCUUCGCCGGGCGUCA
This 41-nucleotide unclassified non-coding RNA is filed under the name Sorangium cellulosum So ce56. RNAcentral's name for it is "sce_s2m_32". Lineage: Bacteria; Pseudomonadati; Myxococcota; Polyangiales; Polyangiaceae. The record is from RNAcentral.